RNAcentral lists this transfer RNA (90 nucleotides) under Nemania diffusa. RNAcentral's name for it is "tRNA-Pro". The record is from RNAcentral. RNAcentral also lists the same sequence under 1 other name. Lineage: Eukaryota; Fungi; Ascomycota; Sordariomycetes; Xylariales; Xylariaceae.
GGCUUGGUGGUCUAGUGGUAUGAUUCUCGCUUAGGGUACACCUGAAAGCAAAUUUGCGAGAGGUCCCGGGUUCAAUCUCCGGCUAAGCCC